Molecule: ribosomal RNA, 505 nt
Filed under: uncultured bacterium
Lineage: Bacteria
Description: partial 16S ribosomal RNA
Rfam family: Bacterial small subunit ribosomal RNA
Source: RNAcentral
GACGAACGCUGGCGGCGUGCCUAAUACAUGCAAGUAGAACGCACAGUUUAUACCGUAGCUUGCUACACCAUAGACUGUGAGUUGCGAACGGGUGAGUAACGCGUAGGUAACCUGCCUGGUAGCGGGGGAUAACUAUUGGAAACGAUAGCUAAUACCGCAUAAUAUUAAUUAUUGCAUGAUAAUUAAUUGAAAGGUGCAAUUGCACCACUACCAGAUGGACCUGCGUUGUAUUAGCUAGUGGGUGAGGUAACGGCUCACCUAGGCGACGAUACAUAGCCGACCUGAGAGGGUGAUCGGCCACACUGGGACUGAGACACGGCCCAGACUCCUACGGGAGGCAGCAGUAGGGAAUCUUCGGCAAUGGACGAAAGUCUGACCGAGCAACGCCGCGUGAGUGAAGAAGGUUGUCGGAUCGUAAAGCUCUGUUGUAAGAGAAGAACGGGUGUGAGAGUGGAAAGUUCACACUGUGACGGUAUCUUACCAGAAAGGGACGGCUAACUACGUG